Peromyscus leucopus (white-footed mouse) is the source of this 563-nucleotide long non-coding RNA. RefSeq lists it as uncharacterized. The record is from RefSeq and is a predicted model, not a curated record. Lineage: Eukaryota; Metazoa; Chordata; Mammalia; Rodentia; Cricetidae. The transcript is spliced from 3 exons.
AACAGAUGAAUGAUCUCAUAGGACAGGUUUGUGGGAACCUCUCACCUCUUUAUUCUCCCCCCUUGCUGUUGGCUGAAGAAACCUCAUAGCAUCUAUUAGGACCACACCCUCUCUGGGUCUCACGCUUGCAGGUGAUUUCUCAGCCUCCAGAACUCUGAUAGAAUGCAUUUCUGUUCUUAGAACCCCUCAAGUGGGGUGCUUUGCGAUGGCAGCACAAGUGAACUAAGACAUCGUGACCCUUGCCUCUCCCUCUUCAUUCCUCUUCUCUAUUCCCUGCUUGUCAGCCCCACCCAGCUCUCUGAGUCAGGUCCAUGGACCCAGCUACCAUGUUCCUGUCAGCACCGAAAUCCACCUCUCCAUUUAUGGCCGUUCUCCGGGAGACAUAUCUGUCGUCCUCCCAACAGCUAUAUUAAUGCCACUCGUCUUGUUUGUCGCGCCCACAUGAGUUGAGAAGGCUGACAUUCUCCACUAGCUGUUAUUUCCACAACAGGAUGAAACAGGCAUACCAAGGACAAAAGAGGCCAUAUGCUACAUUGAGAAGAGCACUCACUGGAAACUCAAGG